AAGUCGUAACAAGGUUUCCGUAGGUGAACCUGCGGAAGGAUCAUUACAGAGAACAUCGCCCUCACGGGUGACUCUCCAACCCUAUGUUAUUGUACCUUUGUUGCUUUGGCGAGCCGCUUCGGCCACCGGCUCACGCUGGUGAGUGCUCGCCAGAGGACCCCAAACCCUGAAUCAUUAGUGUCGUCUGAGUACUAUAUAAUAGUUAAAACUUUCAACAACGGAUCUCUUGGUUCUG
This 235-nucleotide unclassified non-coding RNA is filed under the name air metagenome. RNAcentral describes it as "partial contains small subunit ribosomal RNA, internal transcribed spacer 1, and 5.8S ribosomal RNA". The stretch from base 1 to 46 matches the Rfam family "Eukaryotic small subunit ribosomal RNA", at positions 1786 to 1831 of the family's 1831-position model. The record is from RNAcentral.